CAUCAUUCAAAGAGGUUGAGAAAAUAUUUUUGUAUUUUUUGAAUAUCAAAAACUAUUUAAAAUGAAUUAAAAAUAACCAGAAAAGAGAAAAUUCAUAAAAAAUAUCAAAUGAUAAAAUAAAAAAUAUUAAAAAUCAUUUUUAGAAACUAGAAAUUAAAAGAGAAAUAAUGCAAUUGGUCUCACAUUUUUUGGACCAAUAAUGAAUGAGAUAUGAUUUU
This 218-nucleotide long non-coding RNA is filed under the name Lathyrus oleraceus (garden pea). RNAcentral's name for it is "Pisum sativum (pea) long non-coding RNA (PSAT_LNC004434)". Lineage: Eukaryota; Viridiplantae; Streptophyta; Magnoliopsida; Fabales; Fabaceae. The record is from RNAcentral.